CGGCAGGCCUAACACAUGCAAGUCGAGCGCGCCUUCGGGCGAGCGGCGGACGGGUUAGUAACGCGUGGGAACGUGCCCAGAUCUACGGAAUAGCCACUGGAAACGGUGAGUAAUACCGUAUACGCCCUUAGGGGGAAAGAUUUAUCGGAUUUGGAUCGGCCCGCGUUAGAUUAGGUAGUUGGUGGGGUAACGGCCUACCAAGCCUACGAUCUAUAGCUGGUUUUAGAGGAUGAUCAGCAACACUGGGACUGAGACACGGCCCAGACUCCUACGGGAGGCAGCAGUGGGGAAUCUUGGACAAUGGGGGCAACCCUGAUCCAGCCAUGCCGCGUGAGUGAAGAAGGCCCUAGGGUCGUAAAACUCUUUCGCCUGUGAUGAUAAUGACAGUAGCAGGUAAAGAAACCCCGGCUAACUCCGUGCCAGCAGCCGCGGUAAUACGGAGGGGGUUAGCGUUGUUCGGAAUUACUGGGCGUAAAGCGCACGUAGGCGGAUUAGAAAGUUAGAGGUGAAAUCCCGGGGCUCAACCCCGGAACUGCCUUUAAAACUACUAGUCUAGAGUUCGAGAGAGGUGAGUGGAAUUCCGAGUGUAGAGGUGAAAUUCGUAGAUAUUCGGAGGAACACCAGUGGCGAAGGCGGCUCACUGGCUCGAUACUGACGCUGAGGUGCGAAAGUGUGGGGAGCAAACAGGAUUAGAUACCCUGGUAGUCCACACCGUAAACGAUGAAUGCCAGUCGUCGGAUAGUAUACUAUUCGGUGACACACCUAACGGAUUAAGCAUUCCGCCUGGGGAGUACGGUC
This 798-nucleotide ribosomal RNA is filed under the name uncultured Paracoccaceae bacterium. RNAcentral describes it as "bacterial SSU rRNA". It matches the Rfam family "Bacterial small subunit ribosomal RNA", at positions 40 to 887 of the family's 1533-position model. Lineage: Bacteria; Pseudomonadati; Pseudomonadota; Alphaproteobacteria; Rhodobacterales; Paracoccaceae. The record is from RNAcentral.